This 250-nucleotide ribosomal RNA is filed under the name uncultured bacterium. RNAcentral's name for it is "partial 16S ribosomal RNA". It matches the Rfam family "Bacterial small subunit ribosomal RNA", at positions 524 to 773 of the family's 1533-position model. The record is from RNAcentral.
UACAGAGGGUGCGAGCGUUAAUCGGAAUUACUGGGCGUAAAGCGCACGUAGGUGGCUUUGCAAGUCGAUUGUGAAAUCCCCGGGCUUAACCUGGGAACUGCAGUCGAGACUGCUUUGCUUGAGUAUGGGAGAGGGAGGUGGAAUUUCCGGUGUAGCGGUGAAAUGCGUAGAUAUCGGAAGGAACAUCAGUGGCGAAGGCGACCUCCUGGACCAAUACUGACACUCAAGUGCGAAAGCGUGGGGAGCAAAC